UUUCACUCUCAAACUAAUUUUGGGUUUGAAUGGUUUCAAAAAGCAGGAGUUCUACAUAAGAAUGCUCCGGAAGAAGAGCGAAGGUGCCGCGACUUGGAUCUAUUUGUGUGUGCUUUUCAGUGGAAGGCUUCAUAUCUAUUCGCUGGGUUUUGUCCAUGUGAUAUUUGUAGAGAAACUAAACACUAUUUCUGAAACGACUGACUGUAGCGUGGAAGAAUUUGGGAGGAACUGAUAAUUAAGCUCUUGUGGUCUAUUCAACAUAUUAUAUAUUAUGUAUGCUCCAAAUUGCUAUUAUUUUUGUUAGUAUUUGUGCCCUGUUCAAAUCUUAGAAUUGUUGUUAUUGUUGGGAUAAUAAGUGUUUUAAACUGUCAGUGUUAUUGUCACUUCAGUCUGCAUCUGUGUCAUUACUGCAUGAGAAUUGUUGUUAUCUAUAUGUACCACUACAUCUAUAUCAAUACUGUUGUCCCUGUGAUCCAGUGCCCUUGGGGACUAACCGAAUGCAUAAGAGUGACGUGGAUUGCAUACUGGCAGGGAUUUGGUCCCCAAGUAGUUUUGGUGUCAAGCGGGGAUCACUCAAUCCUCUAGAGGAUUAAAUCCACUAGAGGAUUAAUUUUGCUACAACCGAACAAGGCCUUAGCCGGUCUGAGCAAGAGCUCGUAAGAGCAAACCUGGUUGUUUGGUUGCAACAUGUCAUACGCUGGAUAACAUGACAUAAAACAACUCCAAUGGUGUGGGCGCGUCGUGGACGGUGACUCACUCAUGAAGGGGAGUUAUGUUACGAGUGCACAGGGAAGUGGAAUUGAUUUUUUUGCGCCUGUUGGUUGCCCGCACGGGCGAGCCAAAUUGGCUCUACUUUAGGAGCAAGGUUUUGACAGCGGUUAUUAGGUUAAUUGCCACCAAAAGCUAGAUUUUUCUGUCCAUACCAAACGCCUAACCUUGUCCAGCAAGGCUCGUUUAGUUUUUGCCUUAGAUACAAACGCACCCUAAGUCGCUCUGCCAUUACCAGCAACAUAAGUAUGGCCACAGUCACAAUAAAAUUUUACUUUACAAAUGGAAGACUAUUAGUUUCCCCCUAAGUACUAGUAUUACUAGUAGCUAGGUACAGUAAGAGCAGGCUGCAACUACUCUAUACCUACUAAUAAAAGAAAUAGGUAUUCUUAGUCCAUCCUGCUAUUUUAUAAAAAGCCCCCUGAUUUUUCUGACAUUAAACCCGUAAUAAAUAUCAAAAUCAAAUGUUUUUUAAAAUACUCAUAUCUUCUAAACUGUAACUCCAAAUUUAACAUGUCAUAUAUCAAUUUUGAUUAGAAAAAUAUGUAGAAUCUGGAUAUAAUGUUAUUAGAAAAAGAGUAGCGUUGCUGCCUCAAAACUUGUGGUGUACGGACACUAGUUGAUUUACGCACGCUACAAUAUGUAACUGUUUUUUUUGUGUGUGUGUGUGUGUGAACCAACCCGGGGUUGAGUGUUAGAGGUCGGUGGUAUCCUCAGCCUACCAGGAUUCAAAUCCUGAUGAUCACAUUUAUCCUGUAUUUAUUUUAGAAUUUCUGAUGCUUAAUUUCUUGGAGGAUCUCAUAGAAGUAGGAUGUGUAUAUGUGCGUUCAUAUGAUUGAGUGUAUGCGCGUAUAUAUGAGGCUUGCAUCCGUACUAUGUUAAAAAAUAUAUGUAGAUUUUACAAAGAUGUAUAGAAUCUUUAUAUCUCAUGGCAAUGAACGGACACGUUCAAAACUGAACACCGUAGUAUGGUGUGGACCGACCAGGGUUGGAAAUCGGUCUCCGUGUCCGAAUUCGCCUGUGACACGCUGUUGUGGUCACCCGGCGUAGCGGGACCUCUUAAAAGCCCACGGGAUGACGACCUCGGGGCCUCGUCAAGAGAGAAGCCACGCACGAGGACGAAGAGCAACCGAACGACAAGCGAUCGAUCGCGUCCUUUUCGAUCAGAAGAUCAGAGCUGAUAGAUGGCGCACGGGCAGGAGUCGUCGCCGACGCAGGCCGCCGGCGCCGGCACCGCAGUGCUGUGCACGAACGGCUGCGGGUUCUACGGGAACGCGGCGACCGAGAACAUGUGCUCCAAGUGCUAGCGCGACCACCUCAAGGCCACCGACAUGGUUGCCCCCGCCGUCGAGGGGAAGACGACGGUCAAGGCCGACGACGCGGCCAACCUCGCCUUCAACCUCAAGACGUCGCUGAGCCUGCAGGAUCACUCUGCAGCUGCCGCCGCCGAGGUGCCGACCGCCGAAGCGCCGGCGAAGAAGCCGACCAGGUGCAUGGCGUGCAAGAAGAAGGUGGGGCUGCUGGGGUUCGCCUGCAGGUGCGGUGGCACCUUCUGCUCGCUGCACCGCUACGUGGACGGGCAUGCGUGCGACUUCGACUACAAAAAGGCCGGCCGUGAGAAGAUCGCGCAGCAGAACCCUCUCGUCGUGGCACCCAAGAUCCAGAACAAGAUUUGAAGGCACAAGGAGUUCAAGAACUUGUAAAGCGUUUUUUUUUCUGGGGACAUGUACAUAGUUACUACCUCUCCUCGUUAGAUCUUUCACGUAUGCUCUAUCUUUUUAAGUUGAAGAGAGCCGAUGUUGAUUUUUCUUGUUAAUUAUUUGUAGUCAUCUAUUCAUACAGAUUGGUGUAAAUACGUACCAUCGUGUUAUUCAAUCGUUCUUGUCCGAUGGUACAAUGGUGAACCCGGCGAGUUUGGAGGCAACUCGGCGACUAGGGUUUGUAUCUAGUCCUAAGCUUGAUGAUGAUGUUUACCAUAUAGAACUUGGAUCCGCUGUGCAGACCUCUCCUCCCUUUAUGUAGGGCUAGCGAGAUGGUGUGAACUCUCAGAAAGGGUUCAUCAAGGUUACACCUGACUCUUUUUUGAGCACCAAGUUGGCUCGCCGUCACCGACAGGCCUUCCAAUGCUUAAGAGAGAUAUCUGCAGGAUAUCUUCUGGGAUCUCUUAAAACCCAGGACUUAUAGUUGAAAUAAUCUGCUACUAGAAGGUGGAGGUGCGGCGGCACGCCGCACCUGUCAUGAAGCCCAUGUCUGUGGCUGCGUUGUUUUUCUUAUAGUAGAAGAAAAGAGGGCAUUGCGUAAGUAAGCUAGCAGUCCGUAUGUGCAAGCCAAUUUAACUUAGAUAAAUGGGAAUGUAUAAGCUAGCAGUCCGUAUGUGCAGGCCUUGUUCGGUUACGCCCAGCCCAGCGAGGUUUCGGGUUCAAUCCACGCGGGUCCGCAGGGAUUACCCCCACCGGGGAAUAAACCCGGCCCAUCCAGUUUUUCUCGUUCGGUUAAGCCCCGCGUUGUAUUUCCUCGGCCCAAACCCCUCCAAACCCACGCGGAAAACAUCAUCCACUAGCACCCCGUGGAAGGAAUCCCCGAGCGAGGCGCUCGUCUCAUCUCUCCCGAGCGACAGAAGCGGCGGCAAGGAGGCGGCGGGGACGAGCGGACGACGGCGGCGCAACCUACCCGGAGGAGGAGGGUGCCCUCCUGCUUCGACGACCUGCCACGAAGCCCGCCGGAACCCUAGCCUCUGAUUGUCCCAUCUCCCCCGCCGCCCCCUUGCCGCGGGCCCGCGGCCAGAACCCUAGCUCCGGAGAAGUGGUUGCUGCAGGCGAGGAGAUCUCUGGUUAGUUCUCUCUCUCCCUCCCCCCCCUCCCUCCCACCGCCUCUCUCUCUAGCAGCACUGAUUUGCCCCCUCCAUGAAAACCUAGACAAAUAUUGAUCUGUCUUCCCGAAUGUGGUCGUCAAGGUCAAGACUUUUCUUGGGGUUUCCUAGGAACUAGCAUCAAUUGUUAUUUCAUGAUUUGUCUUCCCGAAUGUGGUCGUCAAGAUCUGUCUUCCCCUUGUUAGUAAUUUGUACUGGAGUCAGCAGUACAAUUUUGUGUUAGUAAAUGGAGUCAGCAGUACGAUUUGGUGUUAGUAAUUUGGAUUUGUUUUAUUUUUCUCGACAUAAUUAUUGUAGUAGUAGUAUAAUUGUUAGUCUAUCUCUUGGUAUAAAGAAGGACUAUCUAAUCUGGAGGAACAACAAUGCAUGUUGUUUUUGUUGCUGGCUGCUGAUAGUACAGUAUGAUGUUCGUCCCAAAAUGUAGUAUGUGAACCUAAUCUCUGUUAGCAGCAGAGCACAUACUUCCAAAGAUUUUUUAUGUCCGAACAAAAGAUACUUCGGGUAUGAUCAUUGGUAGAUUAUAUAAUUGUUCUCUUCAUGGUGUAUGAUUAUCAUCUGUUCUUCAUUGGUACACAUUGCAGCUGUCCUUUUUUUCUAGUGUUGUCCUUUUUGUUAGAUGAUGUUCCAAUGCCAGAUAUUUUGAUGAUGCCAGAUAUAAGCUAGCUUCGCCGCCUCACAGCUGCAGCAAGACCCUGAAUUGGGCAGCAUCGUGAAGGACAAGGUAGAUUAAUCCUCUUGUUUUAAUCUUCUCCUUAUUCAUGUACUGGUUGUUAUUAUUGUUUGGUCGAUAGAUCUGUGUUACAAACUGUUUUUUUGGUAAGCUGAGAGCUAUGUUAAUAUCUUACAUACUAGACAUUGUAGUUGUUGAAGAAUUUUAGCUCUUACUACAGUUGUUUUUUUUGGUAAACUGUUUGUUUGUACAACUUGCACUCUUACUGUUUUGGUGUAGUAGUAAUAACUAGCCACAUUUUUCUUCUUUAGACUUGGAAUGGAUCCUGAAAUGAGGGAUCGUGUUAGGAAAAGGGAGGAGGAGGAUGACGAAAUGAUGUUAUUUGUUUUCCCUGCACUACAUUUGAUAGAGACCGAUGGAGUUGCUCUUAGGGAGCGGAGGAUUCCGCGUCAUACAUCAUCGCUAACAGGCGAGAUGUUUGUUAAGGAGUUACUCGAAGGGCACGUCAAAAACUGUCGGGUAGCAUUUAGGAUGGAGCCGCGUAUCUUCAAAUCUUUGGCUAAUUAUCUUCGAAGGGAGAAGUUGGUGAAAGAUACCAGAAUUAAAGUCGAAGAGAAACUAGCAUCAUUUCUGUGGAUGUUAUCCCAUAAUUCUUCAUUUGAAGACCUUCAAGUUCGGUUUGGUCACAGCGGGGAUACUUUCCAUUGGCAAAUGAAGAAUUUCUUUGACAUCAUCCCUAUUCUCUCCAAGCAUUUUUUGAAGCCUCCAAAUCCCAGUCAAGUGCAUCCGAAGAUUCAGUCGGACACGAGAUUCUUUCCUUAUUUUCAGGUUUUUGCUUCGCCAACUUUGAUCCACAUCGAUAACUUACUCUUCAUGUUAUAGGUGCUAAGUUAUAGUAUUUCAUUGUAGAACUGCAUUGGGGCAAUUGAUGGGACACAUGUUCCCAUAACAAUUUCAGGAGAAAAAGCCGCACCAUUCAGAAAUAGGAAAGGGACCCUAAGCCAUAAUGUUAUGGUCGUGUGCGACUUGGACCUGAACUUCACCUUCAUUUCUUGUGGCUGGGAGGGAUCUGCUACCGAUGCUAAAGUUCUCCGGUCAGCACUUAAUAGUGGGUUUCAUGUACCUCCGGGCAAGUUUUAUCUGGUUGAUGGUGGUUAUGCCAACACACCUUACUUCUUGGCACCGUAUCGUGGUGUUCGGUACCAUCUGAAGGAGUUUGCACGCGGUCGCCAUCGACCCCAAAAUCACAGCGAGCUAUUCAAUCUCCGGCAUGCCGUGUUACGAAAUCACGUCGAACGGGGAUUAGGAAUCUUGAAGAAGCGGUUCCCAAUCCUAAAAGUGGGCACGCAUCAUCGAAUAGAGAACCAAGUCAAGCUACCAGCAGCGGCGGCAAUCUUACAUAACAUCAUCCGAUCUAAAAAAGGAGAUGAGCGUUGGUUAGAUAACCAACCAAACAAUAUACCUGUCAUGAAUUUUGUUGAUCUUCCUGACGGUGAUAUUCCUCAAAAUCAUCAAAUCAACCAUGAAGGCGACAACCUUAGAGAUGCCAUUGCUCAUCAAAUGUGGGCUGAUUAUCGACAUGUAUAACUUGUCAUUUGUAGUGUAGUAGUAAUAAGUAUAGUGUAGACGUUUAUGUUUUUUUUUCUGUUGUUCAUGUCAUGAAUAUUGUUCAGAAGUCACUAUGAUGACUGCUCGAGGGUCACCAAGGUUGAGCCUCCUCAAAAAAGCUGUCGAAAGGGAUAGAGCAUCACCUCCUACAAGCAGUGUGACAAAGAGGAUGAGAGGGUCUCCCAAAGGUAAUAAACUAGCCGUGACUUUAUUUCUCUUGUCGGGACUUUGGGGGUGUUUGUUUCAGAAGUCCUAGGACUUUUUCUAGUCCCAGGGACUAAUCAAAAAAGACUCUCCAAUAGAGUCUUUUUCUAGUCCCUGUAGAAAAAGUCCCUCCCGUUUGGUUUCUAGGGACUUUUUAGGGACUUUUUCUAGUCUCUGGGACUAAAAAGUCCCUGAAACAAACACCCCCUUUAUUUGCUUAAAACCAAAAUAGUUAAGAUAGAAAAAGGUACAUUAACAUACAAUGUGGAAAUGCAGAAGAUAGAGCACAGUGGAAUGCAAGCCUUGAGAAAGAUCUUGUGGACUUGCUUCGUGAGCAUGAUACACCUGAACAUAAGGGUCAAAAUGGAUGGAGCUCAGAAGCAUGGAAUACGAUAGUGAAGAAAUUCCACCAAAAGAAUCCUUAUGCUAGGUACGAGAAGAAGAAAAUCCAAGAAAAGGAAAAAGAGUUGAAAAGAGAAUACAAGAUGAUCAAAGAGAUAAGGAAGCAAAGCGGCGUUUCAUGGGAUGACCGGCAGUGCAGGAUUCUAGCGGAUCCACCACUUUGGAAAAACAUCAUCAUAGUAAGAAUGUCAUUGUUAUUCCCUAAAAGUUUCAUUACUUGUUGCAUGCUCCAAUAUCAUUUUCUUGUCAACUAUGUAGUCACACCCUAAAGUUGGAAAGUUCAAGACAAAAGCCUUCCCUCUUUUUGAAGCUUUGGGAGAAUUGCAUGAUGGUUAGUUAUCAACUUCAUUCAUAUACUCAUGUCAUUGUUUUAUGUUUGUUUACUCUUCUAGUUUGAAAUCUUAUAUUUGAUUGUCACUUUAACUUGUAGGCCAAACUGCAAAAGGGACAUAUAACUUCACCUCUAUCGAGUCAUCACAUUGCUCAACCCAAUUAGAUCUCGAGAAUCUUGGAGGAGCUAGCAAGAAUCAAGGAGAAACAUCAGUUGAUGGUGAGAAUCUUGGAGGAGAAAGGGUGCAGAUUGAUGAAGAUGUUGAGGAGGUUUACGUGCAAGAAAACAUUGAUGUGGAGCCCGAGCAAACUCAACCAAAUUUGGCUACUGCACCCUCAAGAAAUGGAGAAGAGAAAGAACCAAAGAGAAGGAGGGGGGCGAAUGGUGAUGUGGCUGCAAUGAUGGAGAAGUACUUGGACAUAAGGACGAAGCAGGUGGAGGAUGAGAGGAAUAAGCCAAAGGUCGUGGAUGAGUACUCUAUCAAAAACUGCAUUGAUCUGCUGAAAACAAUGGAGAUCACACUUGAAGAAGAAGUCAAGGCUUUCCGAGUCUUCAAGAUCCCCUAGAACCGAGAGAUUUUCGUGAGUGCCAGACCGGAGACUGCUCUUAUGUGGCUGAGAGCUGAAAUGGAAUAACUGAGGUACUCCUCUUUUCAAUUAGUGCAUGUUACUAAACUCCUUGCUAGCCAUUUAGUCCAUGUUGUUGUUGUUGCUGCUGCUAUAAAGACAUUAUUUUCUGCUGAAAUGGAUAGUUGUGUUAAAUAUAUUUAUGAAGUUAUUUUGCAAACUAUUAGACUGACUGGUUAUAGGAAUACUUUGCUUGAAUAAUACAACCUUUUUUCAAAUGAUUGCUUGAUGUAUCGACACAGGUUGACAAGUGCUUGUGUUGUAGCUAGGCUAGGCUGAUUUUCUUGUGGUUGUAGUCCGGAUCAGUGUCAAAGCUUGCAUCAACGUAACCUCUUACGGUGAGCUCUUUGUCACCUCCAUAUACGAGAAACAUAUCCUUAGUCCUUUUCAGGUAUUUCAGGAUGUUCUUGACCGCUGUCCAGUGAUCCACUCCUGGAUUACUUUGGUACCUCCCUGCUAAACUUAUAGCAAGGCACACAUCAGGUCUGGUACACAGCAUUGCAUACAUGAUAGAGCCUAUGGCUGAAGCAUAGGGAACAUCUUUCAUUUUCUCUCUAUCUUCUGCAGUGGUCGGGCAUUGAGUCUAACUCAACUUCACACCUUGUAACACAGGCAAGAACCCUUUCUUUGCUUGAUCCAUCUUGAACUUCUUCAAAAUCUUGUCAAGGUAUGUGCUUUGUGAAAGUCCAAUUAAGCGUCUUGAUCUAUCUCUAUAGAUCUUAAUGCCCAAUAUGUAAGCAGCUUCACCGAGGUCUUUCAUUGAAAAACUCUUAUUCAAGUAUCCCUUUAUGCUAUCCAGAAAUUCUACAUCAUUUCCAAUCAGCAAUAUGUCAUCCACAUAUAAUAUUAGAAAUGCUACAGAGCUCCCACUCACUUUCUUGUAAAUACAGGCUUCUCCAAAAGUCUGUAUAAAGCCAAAUGCUUUGAUCACACUAUCAAAGCGUUUAUUCCAACUCCGAGAUGCUUGCACCAGUCGAUAAAUGGAUCGCUGGAGUUUGCACACUUUGUUAGCUCCCUUUGGAUCGACAAAACCUUCCGGUUGCAUCAUAUACAACUCUUCUUCGAGAAAUCCAUUCAGGAAUGCAGUUUUGACAUCCAUCUGCCAAAUUUCAUAAUCAUAAAAUGCGGCAAUUGCUAACAUGAUUCUGACAGACUUAAGCAUCGCUACGGGUGAGAAUGUCUCAUCAUAGUCAACCCCUUGAACUUGUCGAAAACCUUUUGCAACAAGUCGAGCUUUAUAGACAGUAACAUUACCGUCAGCGUCAGUAUUUUUCUUGAAGAUCCAUUUAUUCUCAAUUGCUUGCUGAUCAUCAGGCAAGUCAACCAAAGUCCAUACUUUGUUCUCAUACAUGGAUCCCAUCUCAGAUUUCAUGGCCUCAAGCCACUUUGCGGAAUCUGGGCUCACCAUCGCUUCUUCAUAGUUCGUAGGUUCAUCAUGAUCUAGUAGCAUGACUUCCAGAACUGGAUUACCGUACCACUCUGGCGCGGAUCUUGCUCUGGUUGAUCUACGAGGUUCAGUAGUAUCUUGUUCUGAAGUUUCAUGAUCAUUAUCAUCAACUUCCUCACUUAUUGGUGUAGGUGUCGCAGAAACAGUUUUCUGUGAUGUACUACUUUCUAAUAAGGGAGCGGGUACAGUUACCUCAUCAAGUUCUACUUUCCUCCCACUCACUUCUUUCGAGAGAAACUCCUUCUCGAGAAAUUUUCCGAAUUUAGCAACAAAAGUCUUGCCUUCGGAUCUGUGAUAGAAGGUGUAUCCAAUAGUUUCCUUUGGAUAUCCUAUGAAGACACAUUUUUCCGAUUUGGGUUCGAGCUUAUCAGGUUGAAGCUUUUUCACAUAAGCAUCGCAACCCCAAACUUUAAGAAACGACAACUUUGGUUUCUUGCCAAACCACAGUUCAUAAGGCGUCGUCUCAACUGAUUUUGAUGGUGCCCUAUUUAACGUGAAUGCGGCCGUCUCUAAAGUGUAUCCCCAAAAUGAUAGCGGUAAAUCAGUAAGAGACAUCAUAGAUCGUACCAUAUCUAGUAAAGUACGAUUACGACGUUCGGACACACCAUUACGCUGUGGUGUUCCGGGUGGCGUGAGUUGCGGAACUAUUCCACAAUUUUUCAAAUGUACACCAAACUCGUAACUUAAAUAUUCUCCUCCACGAUCAGAUCGUAGAAACUUUAUUUUCUUGUUACGAUGAUUUUCAACUUUACUCUGAAAUUCCUUGAACUUUUCAAAUGUUUCAGACUUGUGUUUCAUCAAGUAGAUAUACCCAUAUCUGCUUAAAUCAUCUGUGAAGGUGAGAAAAUAACGAUAUCCGCCACGAGCCUCAAUAUUCAUCGGACCACAUACAUCGGUAUGUAUGAUUUCCAAUAAAUCUGUUGCUCUCUCCAUAGUACCGGAGAACGGUGUUUUAGUCAUUUGCCCAUGAGGCACGGUUCGCAAGUACCAAGUGAUUCAUAAUCAAGUGGUUCCAAAAGUCCAUCAGUAUGGAGUUUCUUCAUGCGCUUUAUACCGAUAUGACCUAAACGGCAGUGUCACAAAUAAGUUGCACUAUCAUUAUCAACUCUGCAUCUUUUGGCUUCUACAUUAUGAAUAUGUGUAUCACUACUAUCGAGAUUUAACAAGAAUAGACCACUCUUCAAGGGUGCAUGACCAUAAAAGAUAUUACUCAUAUAAAUAGAACAAGCAUUAUUCUCUGAUUUAAAUGAAUAACCGUCUCGCAUUAAACAAGAUCCAGAUAUAAUGUUCAUGCUCAACGCUGGCACCAAAUAACAAUUAUUUAGGUCUAAUAUUAAUCCCGAAGGUAGAUGUAGAGGUAGCGUGCCGACCGCGAUCACAUCGACUUUGGAACCGUUUCCCACGCGCAUCGUCACCUCGUCCUUAGCUAAUCUUCGCUUAAUCCGUAGUCCCUGUUUCGAGUUGCAAAUAUUAGCAACAAAACCAGUAUCAAAUACCCAGGUGCUACUGCGAGCAUUAGUAAGGUACACAUCAAUAACAUGUAUAUCACAUAUACCUUUGUUCACCUUGCCAUCCUUCUUAUCCGCCAAAUACUUGGGGCAGUUCCGCUUCCAGUGACCAGUCUGCUUGCAGUAGAAGCACUCAGUUUCAGGCUUAGGUCCAGAUUUGGGUUUCUUCUCCUGAGCAGCAACUUGCUUGCCGUUCUUCUUGAAGUUCCCCUUCUUCUUCCCUUUGCCCUUUUUCUUGAAACUAGUGGUUUUGUUAACCAUCAACACUUGAUGCUCCUUCUUGAUUUCCACCUCCGCAGCUUUCAGCAUUGCGAAGAGCUCGGGAAUAGUCUUGUUCAUCCCUUGCAUAUUAUAGUUCAUCACGAAGCUCUUGUAGCUUGGUGGCAGUGAUUGGAGAAUUCUGUCAAUGACGCAAUCAUCUGGAAGAUUAACUCCCAUCUGAAUCAAGUGAUUGUUAUACCCAGACAUUUUGAGUAUAUGCUCACUGACAGAACUGUUCUCCUCCAUCGUGCAGCUAUAGAACUUAUUGGAGACUUCAUAUCUCUCAAUCCGGGCACUUGCUUGAAAUAUUAACUUCAACUCCUGGAACAUCUCAUAUGCUCCAUGACGUUCAAAAUGUCGUUGAAGUCCCGAUUCUAAGCCGUAAAGCAUGGCACACUGAACUAUCGAGUAGUCAUCAGCUUUGCUCUGCCAGACGUUCAGAACAUCUGGUGUUGCUCCAGCAGCAGGCCUGGCACCCAGCGGUGCUUCCAGGACGUAAUUCUUCUGUGCAGCAAUGAGGAUAAUCCUCAAGUUACGGACCCAGUCCGUGUAAUUGCUACCAUCAUCUUUCAACUUUGCUUUCUCAAGGAACGCAUUAAAAUUCAACGGAACAACAGCACGAGCCAUCUAUCUACAAUCAACAUAAACAAGCAAGACACUAUCAGGUACUAAGUUCAUGAUAAAUUUAAGUUCAAUUAAUCAUAUUACUUAAGAACUCCCACAUAGAGAGACAUCCCUCUAAUCCUCUAAGUGAUCACGUGAUCCAAAUCAACUAAACCAUGUCCGAUCAUCACGUGAUAUGGAGUAGUUUCAUCGGUGAACAUCAUUAUGUUGAUCAUAUCUACUAUAUGAUUCACGCUCUACCUUUCGGUCUCCGUGUUCCGAGGCCAUAUCUGUAUAUGCUUGGCUCGUCAAGUAUAACCUGAGUAUUCCGCGUGUGCAACUAUUUUGCACCCGUUGUAUUUGAACGUAGAGCCUAUCACACCCGAUCAUCACGUGGUGUCUCAGCACGAAGAACUUUCGCAACGGUGCAUACUCAGGGAGAACACUUCUUGAUAAUUUAGUGAGAGAUCAUCUUAUAAUGCUACCGUCAAUCAAAGCAAGAUAAGAUGCAUAAAAGAUAAACAUCACAUGCAAUCAAUAUAAGUGAUAUGAUAUGGCCAUCAUUAUCUUGUGCUUGUGAUCUCCAUCUCCGAAGCACCGUCAUGAUCACCAUCGUCACCGGCGCGACACCUUGAUCUCCAUCGUAGCAUCGUUGUCGUCUCGCCAAUCUUAUGCUUCCACGACUAUCACUACCGCUUAGCAAUAAAGUAAAGCAUUACAUCGCGAUUGCAUUGCAUACAAUAAAGCGACAACCAUAUGGCUCCUGCCAGUUGCCGAUAACUUGGUUACAAAACAUGAUCAUCUCAUACAAUAAAAUCAACAUCAUGCCUUGACCAUAUCACAUCACAACAUGCCCUGCAAAAACAAGUUAGACGUCCUCUACUUUGUUGUUGCAAGUUUUACGUGGCUUCUACGGGCUUAAGCAAGAACUCAUCUCACCUACGCAUCAAAACCACAACGAUAGUUUGUCAAAUAGACUCCGUUUUAACCUUCUCAAGGACCGGGCGUAGCCACACUCGGUUCAACUAAAGUUGGAGAGACAGUCGCCCGCAAGCCAUCUAUGUGCAAAGCACGUCGAGGGAACCGGUCUCGCGUAAGCGUACGCGUAAGGUUGGUCCGGGUCGUCUCGUCCAACGAUACCGCCAAACCAAAGUAUGACAUGCUGGUAUGCAGUAUGACUUGUAUCGCCCACAACUCACUUGUGUUCUACUCGUGCAAAUAACAUCAAACCAUAAAACCUAGGCUCGGAUGCCACUGUUGGGGAACGUAGUAAUUUCAAAAAAUUUCCUACGCACACGCAAGAUCAUGGUGAUGCAUAGCAACGAGGGGGAGAGUCUGAUCUACGUACACUUGUAGAUCGCAACGGAAGCGUUGACACAACGUAGAGGAAGUAGUCGUACGUCUUCUUCCCGGUCCGACCGAUCCAAGCACCGUUACUCCGGCACCUCCGAGUUCUUAGCACACGUACAGCUCGAUGACGAUCCCCGGGCUCCGAUCCAGCAAAGCUUCGGGGAGGAGUUCCGUCAGCACGACGGCGUGGUGACGAUCUUGAUGUUCUACCGACGCAGGGCUUCGCCUAAGCACUGCAACGAUAUGAUCGAGGUGGAAUAUGGUGGCAGGGGCACCGCACACGGCUAAGGAACGAUCUCAAGGAUCAACUUGUGUGUCUUGGGGUGCCCCCUGCCCCCGUAUAUAAAGGAGCAAGGGGAGGAGGCGGCCGGCCAAGGUGUGGCGCGCCAAGGGGAGUCCUACUCCCACUGGGAGUAGGACUCCUAGUUGGACUAGGAGAGAAGGGGGAGAAUAGGAGGAAGAGAGGAAGGAAAGGGGGGGGGGGGCGCCGGCCCCCUUCCCUUGUCCUAUUCGGACUAGGAAGGGGAGGGGCGCGCGGCCACCUCUUGCCUCCUCUCCUCUUCUCCCUUAAGGCCCAUGUUGGCCCAAUAACCCCCCGGGGGGUUCCGGUAACCCCCCCCCCCGGUACUCCGGUAAAAUGCCGAUUUCACCCGGAACAAUUCCGAUGUCCAAAUAUAGGCUUCCAAUAUAUCAAUCUUUAUGUCUCGACCAUUUCGAGACUCCUCGUCAUGUCCGUGAUCACAUCCGGGACUCCGAACUAACUUCGGUACAUCAAAAUGCAUAAACUCAUAAUAACUGCCAUCGUAACAUUAAGCGUGCGGACCCUACGGUUCGAGAACAAUGUAGACAUGACCGAGACACGUCUCCGGUCAAUAACCAAUAGCGGGACCUGGAUGCCCAUAUUGGCUCCUACAUAUUCUACGAAGAUAUUUAUCGGUCAGACCGCAUAACAACAUACGUUGUUCCCUUUGUCAUCGGUAUGUUACUUGCCCGGGAUUCGAUCGUCGAUAUCCAAUACCUAGUUCAAUCUCGUUACUGACAAGUCUCUUUACUCGUUCCGUAAUACAUCAUCUAACAACUAACAUAUUAGUUGCAGUGCUUGCAAGGCUUAUGUCAUGUGCAUUACCGAGAGGGCCCAGAGAUACCUCUCCGACAAUCGGAGUGACAAAUCCUAAUCUCGAAAUACGCCAACCCAACAUCUACCUUUGGAGCCACCUGUAAUACUCCUUUAUAAUCACCCAGUUACGUUGUGACGUUUGGUAGUAAACAAAGUAUUCCUCCGGUAAACGGGAGUUGCAUAAUCUCAUAGUUAUAGGAACAUGUAUAAGUCAUGAAGAAAGCAAUAGCAACAUACUAAACGAUCGGGUGCUAAGCUAAUGGAAUGGGUCAUGUCAAUCAGAUCAUUCAACUAAUGAUGUGACCUCGUUAAUCAAAUAACAACUCUUUGUUCAUGGUUAGGAAACAUAACCAUCUUUGAUUAACGAGCUAGUCAAGUAGAGGCAUACUAGUGACACUCUGUUUGUCUAUGUAUUCACACAUGUAUUAUGUUUCCGGUUAAUACAAUUCUAGCAUGAAUAAUAAACAUUUAUCAUGAUAUAAGGAAAUAAAUAAUAACUUUAUUAUUGCCUCUAGGGCAUAUUUCCUUCACGAGUGGGCCCAAAGAUACCUCUCCGCUUACACGGAGUGACAAAUCCCAGUCUCGAUUCGUGCCAACCCAACAGACACUUUCGGAGAUACCUGUAGUGCACCUUUAUAAUCACCCAGUUACGUUGUGACGUUUGGCACACCCAAAGCACUCCUACGGUAUCCGGGAGUUGCACAAUCUCUUGGUCUAAGGAAAUGAUACUUGACAUUAGCAAAGCUUUAGCAUACGAACUACACGAUCUGGUGCUAUGAUUAGGAUUGGGUCUUGUCCAUCACAUCAUUCUCCUAAUGAUGUGAUCCAGUUAUCAACGACAUCCAAUGUCCAUGGUCAGGAAACCGUAACCAUCUAUUGAUCAAUGAGCUAGUCAACUAGAGGCUUACUAGGGACAUGGUGUUGUCUAUGUAUCCACACAUGUAUCUGAGUUUCCUAUCAAUACAAUUCUAGCAUGGAUAAUAAACGAUUAUCAUGAACAAGGAAAUAUAAUAAUAAUCAAUUUAUUAUUGCCUCUAGGGCAUAUUUCCAACAGUCUCCCACUUGCACUAGAGUCAAUAAUCUAGUUCACAUCGCCAUGUGAUUAACACUCACAGGUCACAUCGCCAUGUGACUAACACCCAAGAGUUUACUAGAGUCAGUAGUCUAGUUCACAUCACUAUGUGAUUAACACUCAAUUAGUUCUAGGUUUGAUCAUGUUGCUCGUGAGAGAGGUUUUAGUCAACGGGUCUGAACCUUUCAGAUCCGUGUGUGCUUUACAAAUCUCUAUGUCAUCUCCUAGAUGUAUCUACCACGUUCUAUUUGGAGCUAUUCCAAAUAACUGUUCUACUUGGAGCUAUUCUAAAUUGUUGCUCCAUUAUACGUAUCCGGUAUCUCUACUCAGAGCUAUCCGGAUAGGUGUUAAGCUUGCAUCGACGUAACCCUUUACGACGAACUCUUUUACCACCUCCAUAAUCGAGAAAAAUUCCUUAGUCCACUAGUUACUAAGGAUAACUUUGACCGCUGUCCUGUGAUCCAUUCUUGGAUCACUCUUGUACCCCCUGACUGACUCAUGGCAAGGCACACUUCAGGUGCGGUACACAGCAUAGCAUACUGUAGAGCCUAUGUCUUAAGCAUAAGGGACGACUUUCGUCCUUUCUCUCUAUUCUGCCGUGGUCGAGCUUUAAGUCUUAACUUCAUACCUUACAACUCAGGCAAGAACUCCUUCUUUAACUGAUCCAUUUUGAACACCUUCAAGAUCAUGUCAAGGUAUGUGCUCAUUUGAAAGUACCAUUAAGCGUUUUGAUCUAUCCUUACAGAUCUUGAUGCUCAAUGUUCAAGUAGCUUAAUCUAGGCUUUCCAUUGAAAAACACUUUCCAAAUAACCCUAUAUGCUUUCCAGAAAUUCUACAUCAUUUCUGAUCCUUAAUAUGUCAACAACAUAUACUCAUCAGAAAUUCUAUAGUGCUCCAACUCACUUCUUUGGAAAUACAAGUUUCUCAUAAACUUUGUAUACACCAAAAUCUUUGAUCAUCUCAUCAAAGCAUACAUUCCAACUCCGAGAUGCUUACUCCAGUCCUUAGAAGGAUUGCUGGAGCUUUGCAUACUUAUUAGCAUCUUUCAGGAUUGAUAAAACCUUCCGGUUGUAUCACAUACAACCUUUCCUCAAGAAAAUCAUGAGGAAACAAUGUUUUGACAUCCUAUCUGCAAGAUUUCAUAAAUAACGCAGUAAUCGCUAAUAUAAUUCCAACAGACUCCUAGCAUCGCUAUGAGUGAGAAAGUCUCAUCAUAGUCAACUCCUUGAACUUGUCGGAAAACAUCUUAACGACAAGUCGAGCUUUCUUAAUGGUGAUAAUUAUCAUCAUUGUCCGUCUUCCUUUUAAAAUCCAUCUGUACCUAACAGCCUUACGACCAUCAAGUAGUUCUUCCAAAGUCUACACUUUGUUUUCAUAUAUGGAUCCUCUCUCGGAUUAUAUGGCCUCGAGCCAUUUAUCGGAAUCCAGGCCCACCAUCGCUUCUCCAUAGCUCGUAGGAUCAUUGUUGUCUAGCAACAUGACUUCCAAGACAGGAUUAUGUACCACUCUGAAGUAGUACGCAUCCUUGUCAUCCGACGAGGUUUGGGAGUGACUUGAUCCGAUCAUCAAGUCUCCACCAUCCUCCCACUCAAUUCUUUCGAGAGAAACUUUUCCUCGAGAAAGGACCCGAUUCUAGAAACAAUCCCUUAUUGCUUUCGGAUCUGAGGCAGAAGGUAUACCCAACUGUUUUGGGUGUCCUAUGAAGAUGCAUUUAUCCGCUUUGGGUUCGAGCUUAUCAGCCUGAAAUUUUUUCACAUAAGCAUCGCAGCCCCAAACCUUUAAGAAAUGACAGCUUAGGUUUCUCUAAACCAUAGUUCAUACGGUGUCAUCUCAUCGGAAUUACGUGGUGCCCUAUUUAAAGUGAAUGUGGUUGUCUCCAAUGCCUAACCCAUAAACUAUUAUGGUAAUUCGAUAAGAAACAUCAUGGUAUGCAUCAUAUCCAAUAGGGUGCAGUUAUGAUGUUCGGACACACCAUCACACUAUGGUGUUCCAGGUUGUAUUAGUUGUGAAACAAUUUCCACAAUGUCUUAAUUCUGUGCCAAACUCGUAAUUCAGAUAUUCAUCUCUAUAAUCAUAUCAUAGAUCUUUUAUCCUCUUGUCACGACGAUCUUUCAACUUCACCCUGAAAUUACUUGAACCUUUCAAUAAUUCAGACUCGUGAUUCAUUAAGUAAAUAUUCUCAACAUCUACUCAAAUCAUCUGUGAAGUAAAACCAUAACGAUAUCCACUACACGCCUCAGCACUCAUUGGACUGCACACAUCAAAAUGUAUUACUUCCAGCAAGUUGCUUUCUAGUUCCAUUUUACUGAAACCGAGGCUUUCAGUCAUCUUGCCCAUGUGGUAUGAUUUGCAUGUCUCAAGUGAUUCAAAAUCAAGUGAGUCCAAACGAUCCAUCUGCAUGGAGUUUCUUCAUGCAUAUACACCAAUAGACACGGUUUGCAUGUCUCAAACUUUUCAAAAAUGAGUGAGUCCAAAGAUCCAUCAACAUGGAGCUUCUUCAUGCGUUUUAUACCGAUAUGACUUACGUGGCAGUGCCACAAGUAGGUGGUACUAUCAUUACUAUCUUUUGGCAUGAACAUGUGUAUCACUAUGAUCGAGAUUCAAUAAACCAUUCAUUUUAGGUGUAAGACCAUUGAAGGUAUUAUUCAAAUAAACAGAGUAACCAUUAUUCUCCUUAAAUGAAUAACCGUAUUGCGAUAGACAUAAUCCAAUCAUGUCUAUGCUCAACGCAAACACCAAUCUCGAUGGUAGAGGGAGCGUACGAUAUUUGAUCAACCUUGGAAAUACUUCCAAUACAUAUCGUUAUCUCACCUUUAGCUAGUCUCCGUUUAUUCCGCAGCUUUUAUUUCGAGUUACUAACACUUAGCAACCGAACCGGUAUCUAAUACCCUGGUGCUACUAGGAGUACCAGUAAAGUACACAUCAACACAAUGUAUAUCAAUAUACUUCUAUCGACCUUGCCAGCCUUCUCAUCUACCAAGUAUCUAGGGUAAUUCCGCUCCAGUGGCUGUUCCUCUUAUUACAGAAGCACUUAGUCUCGGGUUUGGGUUCAACCUUGGGUUUCUUCACUAGAGCAGCAGCUGAUUUGCCGUUUCACGAAGUAUCCCUUCUUGCCCUUGCCCUUCUUGAAACUAGUGGUUUCACUAACCAUCAACAAUUGAUUCUCCUUCUUGAUUUCUACUUUCGUGGUGUCAAACAUCACGAAUAUCGCAAGGAUCAUCAUAUAUGUCCCUGAUAUAUCAUAGUUCAUCACGAAGCUCUAGCAGCUUGGUGGUAAUGACUUCGGAGAACCAUCACUAUCUCAUCUGGAAGAUUAACUCCCACUAGAUUCAAAUGAUUGUUGUACUCAGACAAUCUGAGCACAAGCUCAACAAUUGAGCUUUUCUCCCUUAGUUUGCAGAUUAAGAAAAUCGUCGGAGGUCUUAUACCUCUUGACGUGGGCACGAGCCUGAAAUCCCAAUUUCAGCCCUCGAAACAUCUCAUAUGUUUCGCGACGUUUCAAAAACGUCUUCGGUGCCUCAACUCUAAACCGUUUAACUGAACUAUCACGUAGUUAUCAAAAUGUGUAUGUCAGAUGUUCGCAACAUCCACAGACAACGUUCGAGGUUCAGCACACUGAGCGGUGCAUUAAGGACAUAAGCCUUCUACGAAGCAAUGAGGACAAUCCUCAGUUUACGGAUCUAGUCCGCAUAAUUGCUACUAUCAACUUUCAACUAAUUUUUUCUCUAGGAACAUAUCUAAACAGUAGAACUAAAGCGCGAGCUACGACAUAAUUUGCAAAAUCCUUUUAACUAUGUUCAGGAUAAUUAAGUUCAUCUUAUGAACUCCCACUCAGAUAGACAUCCCUCUAGUCAUCUAAGUGAUUACAUGAUCCGAGUCAACUAGCCUGUGUCCGAUCAUCACGUGAGACGGACUAGUCAACGUCGGUGAACAUCUUCAUGUUGAUCGUAUCUUCUAUACGACUCAUGCUCGACCUUUCGGUCUUCUGUGUUCCGAGGCCAUGUCUGUACAUGCUAGGCUCGUCAAGUUAACCCUAAGUGUUUCGCGUGUGUAAAUCUGUCUUACACCCGUUGUAUGUGAACGUUAGAAUCUAACACCCGAUCAUCACGUGGUGCUUCGAAACACGAACUGUCGCAACGGUGCACAGUUAGGGGAGAACACUUCUUGAAAUUGUUGUAAGGGAUCAUCUUAUUUACUACCGUCGUUCUAAGCAAAUAAGAUGUAUAAACAUGAUAAACAUCACAUGCAAUCAAAUAGUGACAUGAUAUGGCCAUCAUCACUUUUCUCCUUUUGAUCUCCAUCUUCGGGGCUCCAUGAUCAUCAUCGUCACCGGCAUGACACCAUGAUCUCCAUCAUCAUGAUCUCCAUCAUCGUGUCUUCAUGAAGUUGUCUCGCCAACUAUUACUUCUACUACUACAGCUAACAUUUAGCAAUAAAGUAAAGUAAUUAAAUGAUGUUUAUGUUGACACGCAGGUCAUAAAUAAAUUAAGACAACUCCUAUGGCUCCUGCCGGUUGUCAUACUCAAAGACAUGCAAGUCGUGAUUCCUAUUACAAGAACAUGAUCAUCUCAUACAUCACAUAUAUCAUUCAUCACAUCCUUUGGCCAUAUCACAUCACAUAGCAUACCCUGCAAAAACAAGUUAGACGUCCUCUAAUUGUUGUUCGCAUGUUUGACGUGGCUGCUAUGGGUUUCUAGCAAGAACGUUUCUUACCUACUCAAAGACCACAACGUGAUAUGCCAAUUGCUAUUUACCCUUCAUAAGGACCCUUUUCAUCGAAUCCGAUCCGACUAAAGUGGGAGAGACAGACACCCGCCAGCCACCUUAUGCAACUAGUGCAUGUUUGUCGGUGGAACCGGUCUCACGUAAGAGUAUGUGUAAGGUUGAUCUGGGCCGCUUCAUCCCACGAUGCCGCCGAAUCAAGAUAAGACUAGUAACGGCAAGCAUAUUGAACAAAAUCAACGCCCACAACUACUUUGUGUUCUACUCGUGCAUAGAAUCUACGCAAUAGACCUAGCUCAUGAUGCCACUGUUGGGGAACGUAGCAGAAAUUCAAAAAUUUCCUACGUGUCACCAAGAUCUAUCUAUGGAGAGACUAGCAACGAGGGGGAGGAGAGUGCAUCUACAUACCCUUGUAGAUCGCUAAGCGGAAGCGUUCAAGUGAACGGGGUUGAUGGAGUCGUACUCGUCGUGAUUCAAAUCACCGAUGAUCAAGUGCCGAACGGACGGCACCUCCGCGUUCAACACACGUACAGCCCGGUGACGUCUCCCAUGCCUUGAUCCAGCAAGGAGAGAGGGAGAGGUUGAGGAAGACUCCAUCCAGCAGCAGCACAACGGCGUGGUGGUGAUGGAGGAGCGUGGCUAUCCUGCAGGGCUUCGCCAAGCACCACAGAAGAGGAGGAAGAAGAGACGCAGGGCUGCACCAAGAGAGAUUGAAUCGCGUGUGUUAUGGGCAGCCCCCUAGGCCUCAUAUAUAUAGGGGAAGGGGAGGUGCUGCACCCCCUCUAGGGUUCCCACCCCUAGGGGGGGCGGCAGCCCUAGAUGGCCAAGGGGUGGCGGCCAAGGGGGGGAGGAGAGGGAGGCGCGGGGUGUAUGGGCCUUAGGGCCCAUAUGCCCUUAGGGUUUGCCCCCUCUCCCCUUCUAGGCGCAUGGGCCUUAGUGGGGCUGGUGCCCUUGGCCCAUGUAGGCCAAGGAGCACUCCCUACAGCCCAUGUGCCCCCCCGGGGCAGGUGACCCCACUUGGUGGACCCCCGGGACCCUCCCGGUGGUCCCGGUACGUUACCGAUAAACCCCGAAACUUUUUCGGUGACCAAAACAGGACUUCCCAUAUAUAAAUCCUUACCUCCGGACCAUUCCGGAACUCCUCACGACGUCCGGGAUCUCAUCCGGGACUCCGAACAACAUUCGGUAACCACAUACAAACUUCCUUUAUAACCCUAGCGUCAUCGAACCUUAAGUGUGUAGACCCUACGGGUUCGGGAGACAUGCAGACAUGACCGAGACGUUCUCUGGUCAAUAACCAACAGUGGGAUCUGGAUACCCAUGUUGGCUCCCACAUGUUCCACGAUGAUCUCAUCGGAUGAACCACGAUGUCAAGGACUUAAUCAAUCCCGUAUACAAUUCCCUUUGUCUAGCGGUAUUGUACUUGCCCGAGAUUCGAUCGUCGGUAUCCCUAUACCUUGUUCAAUCUCGUUACCGGCAAGUAUCUUUACUCGUUCCGUAACACAUAAUCUCAUGAUCAACUCCUUGGUCACAUUGCGCAUAUGAUGAUGUCCUACCGAGUGGGCCCAGAGAUACCUCUCCGCUUACAUGGAGUGACAAAUCCCAGUCUCGAUUCGUGCCAACCCAACAGACACUUUCGGAGAUACCUGUAGUGCACCUUUAUAAUCACCCAGUUACGUUGUGACGUUUGGCACACCCAAAGCACUCCUACGGUAUCCGGAAGUUGCACAAUCUCAUGGUCUAAGGAAAUGAUACUUGACAUUAGCAAAGCUUUAGCAUACGAACUACACGAUCUAGUGCUUUGCUUAGGAUUGGGUCUUGUCCAUCACAUCAUUCUCCUAAUGAUGUGAUCCCGUUAUCAACGACAUCCAAUGUCCAUGGUCAGGAAACCGUAACCAUCUAUUGAUCAACGAGCUAGUCAACUAGAGGCUUACUAGGGACAUGGUGUUGUCUAUGUAUCCACACAUGUAUCUGAGUUUCCUAUCAAUACAAUUCUAGCAUGGAUAAUAAACGAUUAUCAUGAACAAGGAAAUAUAAUAAUAAUCAAUUUAUUAUUGCCUCUAGGGCAUAUUUCCAACACUUACUUCUUGGCACCAUAUCAUGGUGUUCGGUACCAUCUGAAGGAGUUUGCACGCGGUCGCCGUCGACCCCAAAAUCACAGGGAGCUAUUCAAUCUCCGGCAUGCCGUGUUACGAAAUCACGUCGAACGGGGAUUAGGAAUCUUGAAGAAGCGGUUCCCAAUCCUAAAAGUGGGCACGCAUCAUCGAAUAGAGAACCAAGUCAAGCUACCAGCAGCGGCGGCAAUCUUACAUAACAUCAUCCGAUCUGAAAAAGGAGAUGAGCGUUGGUUAGAUAACCAACCAAACAAUAUACCUUCAUGAAUUUUGUUGAUCUUCCUGACGGUGAUAUUCCUCAAAAUCAUCAAAUCAACCAUGAAGGCGACAACCUUAGAGAUGCCACUGCUCAUCAAAUGUGGGCUGAUUAUCGACAUGCAUAACUUUUCAUUUGUAGUGUAGUAGUAAUAAGUAUAGUGUAGACGUUUAUGUUUGUUUUUCUGUUGUUCAUGUCAUGAAUAUUGUUCAGAAGUCACUAUGAUGACUGCUCGAGGGUCACCAAGGUUGAGCCUCCUCAAAAAAGCUAUCGAAAGGGAUAGAGCAUCACCUCCUACAAGCAGUGUGACAAAGAGGAUGAGAGGGUCUCCCAAAGGUAAUAAACUAGCCGUGACUUUAUUUCUCCUGUCGGGACUUUGGGGGUGUUUGUUUCAGAAGUCCUAGGACUUUUUCUAGUCCCAGGGACUAAUCAAAAAAGACUCUCCAAUAGAGUCUUUUUCUAGUCCCUGUAGAAAAAGUCCCUCCCGUUUGGUUUCUAGGGACUUUUUAGGGACUUUUUCUAGUCUCUGGGACUAAAAAGUCCCUGAAACAAACACCCCCUUUAUUUGCUUAAAACCAAAAUAGUUAAGAUAGAAAAAGGUACAUUAACAUACAAUGUGGAAAUGCAGAAGAUAGAGCACAGUGGAAUGCAAGCCUUGAGAAAGAUCUUGUGGACUUGCUUCGUGAGCAUGAUACACCUGAACAUAAGGGUCAAAAUGGAUGGAGCUCAGAAGCAUGGAAUACGAUAGUGAAGAAAUUCCACCAAAAGAAUCCUUAUGCUAGGUACGAGAAGAAGAAAAUCCAAGAAAAGGAAAAAGAGUUGAAAAGANNNNNNNNNNNNNNNNNNNNNNNNNNNNNNNNNNNNNNNNNNNNNNNNNNNNNNNNNNNNNNNNNNNNNNNNNNNNNNNNNNNNNNNNNNNNNNNNNNNNNNNNNNNNNNNNNNNNNNNNNNNNNNNNNNNNNNNNNNNNNNNNNNNNNNNNNNNNNNNNNNNNNNNNNNNNNNNNNNNNNNNNNNNNNNNNNNNNNNNNNNNNNNNNNNNNNNNNNNNNNNNNNNNNNNNNNNNNNNNNNNNNNNNNNNNNNNNNNNNNNNNNNNNNNNNNNNNNNNNNNNNNNNNNNNNNNNNNNNNNNNNNNNNNNNNNNNNNNNNNNNNNNNNNNNNNNNNNNNNNNNNNNNNNNNNNNNNNNNNNNNNNNNNNNNNNNNNNNNNNNNNNNNNNNNNNNNNNNNNNNNNNNNNNNNNNNNNNNNNNNNNNNNNNNNNNNNNNNNNNNNNNNNNNNNNNNNNNNNNNNNNNNNNNNNNNNNNNNNNNNNNNNNNNNNNNNNNNNNNNNNNNNNNNNNNNNNNNNNNNNNNNNNNNNNNNNNNNNNNNNNNNNNNNNNNNNNNNNNNNNNNNNNNNNNNNNNNNNNNNNNNNNNNNNNNNNNNNNNNNNNNNGGGGGCGAAUGGUGAUGUGGCUGCAAUGAUGGAGAAGUACUUGGACAUAAGGACGAAGCAGGUGGAGGAUGAGAGGAAUAAGCCAAGGGUCGUGAAUGAGUACUCUAUCAAAAACUGCAUUGAUCUGCUGAAAACAAUGGAGAUCACACUUGAAGAAGAAGUCAAGGCUUUCCGAGUCUUCAAGAUCCCCGAGAACCGAGAGAUUUUCGUGAGUGCCGGACCGGAGACUGCUCUUAUGUGGCUGAGAGCUGAAAUGGAAUAACUCAGGUACUCCUCUUUUCAAUUAGUGCGUGUUACUAAGCUCCUUGCUAGCCAUUUAGUCCAUGUUGUUGUUGCUGCUGCUGCUAUAAAGACAUUAUUUUCUGCUGAAAUGGAUAGUUGUUUUAAAUAUAUUUAUGAAGUUCUUUUGCAAACUAUUAGACUGACUGGUUAUAGGAAUACUUUGCUUGAAUAAUACAACCUUUUUUCAAAUGAUUGCUUGAUGUAUCGACACAGGUUGACAAGUGCUUGUGUUGUAGCUAGGCUAGGCUGAUUUUCUUGUGGUUGUAGUAAUUGUCUAUUUCUAAACUGCUAUGAUGCCUUGUCCCUAGAAAAUAAAAAGGGAUGCUUUUAACAUAGAUCAGAGGAUAGAGAUUGAUUUACCUACUAUUUAUGUAUGUUUUUCUCAUUGUUUCCAUUCCUGGAAAUAAAACUGCCAAGUAUUUCACUCUCAAACUAAUUUUGGGUUUGAAUGGUUUCAAAAAGCAGGAGUUCUACAUAAGAAUGCUCCGGAAGAAGAGCGAAGGUGCCGCGACUUGGAUCUAUUUGUGUGCGCUUUUCAGUGGAAGGCUUCAUAUCUAUUCGCUGGGUUUUGUCCAUGUGAUAUUUGUAGAGAAACUAAACACUAUUUCUGAAACGACUGACUGUAGCGUGGAAGAAUUUGGGAGGAACUAAUAAUUAAGCUCUUGUGAUCUAUUCAACAUAUUAUAUAUUAUGUAUGCUCCAAAUUGCUAUUAUUUUUGUUAGUAUUUGUGCCCUGUUCAAAUCUUAGAAUUGUUGUUAUUGUUGGGAUAAUAAGUGUUUUAAACUGUCAGUGUUAUUGUCACUUCAGUCUGCAUCUGUGUCAUUACUGCAUGAGAAUUGUUGUUAUCUAUAUGUACCACUUCAUC
This 24508-nucleotide long non-coding RNA is filed under the name Triticum aestivum (bread wheat). RNAcentral describes it as "long non-coding RNA (TAES_LNC010964)". Lineage: Eukaryota; Viridiplantae; Streptophyta; Magnoliopsida; Poales; Poaceae. The record is from RNAcentral.